GGCUGAUCCAAAGGUAGUGAGUUAUCUCAGCUGAUUGUUUAUGGUCCGUUACAGAUUGAACUCCUUGUUCUACUCUUUCCCUCCUUCUCGCUACUGCACUUGACUAGUCUUGA
Molecule: Y RNA, 113 nt
Filed under: Propithecus coquereli (Coquerel's sifaka)
Lineage: Eukaryota; Metazoa; Chordata; Mammalia; Primates; Indriidae
Description: Y RNA (ENSPCOG00000008164.1)
Rfam family: Y RNA
About the family: Y RNAs are components of the Ro ribonucleoprotein particle (Ro RNP), in association with Ro60 and La proteins. The Y RNAs and Ro60 and La proteins are well conserved, but the function of the Ro RNP is not known.
Source: Rfam by way of RNAcentral